This is a long non-coding RNA of Lingula anatina, 893 nucleotides long. NCBI's taxonomy places the organism in Eukaryota, Metazoa, Brachiopoda, Lingulata, Lingulida, Lingulidae. The record is from RefSeq and is a predicted model, not a curated record.
AUCAGCAUUGGUCAGAAUUGUGCCGGAAGUGUGACGUCAAAUGGUGUUAGAAGCGAAGCUGAGUGGUCAUUUUUAACCAUGGACCUAACUAGAUAGGUCCAUGUUUUAUCCUGGAGGGGAACGGCAGAGAAGACGUGUAGUCGGAGGAAAAAAAAAUUUCUAAACAACAUGAGUCUCAGGAACUGUUGUGUGCCUCUUUGCCCCAGUGUAGGCCCACUUUCCCAAGAUGGAACAUACAUGUAGCUGUCCUACCAUACAUUUCCAGUAGAUGAAAAACUGAAAAAGCAGUGGACGUAGGGAUGUCAUUUCAGAAAUCCGCUACCAACUGACUGAUCUCUACGUUUAUUUCUCUGGCUGAGAGAUCUGUAGUCUCCGAAGACAUCAAGGACAAUCCAGCUGGUUUGUAUUGUCAUCGGAGAAUGUCGCACCGACUGUCCAAACUUUCUUUAAUGACAUUGCAAACUAUUCAUUAUACAUACUACACAAAAUGUGAAGCAUCCAUCAUGUGUGUCAUUAGUGAAUUAAAUUAGCAAUAGGUGAAAUAAAAAAAGUUACUAAAAUAGGUAGAAAUGUAUGUGAUGUUGUAAGCCAAAGUGAGCCUUUUCAUUAAAACGGAUGUUGGAAGAUGAGGGGAUUACAUCGUAUACACUUGAAUGAAAAAGGCAUAAAUGAGCGUUAUAUCCUUUGUUGCAAAUUUUUAAUUUUACUGGAAAAGUCCGCACCUUUCGUUUUUACACAAGUACAUGUAGACCACACCAAAAACCGGUAACAGAAUUGCGAUUACUGAACCCGUUUUCGAGAUCUUAAGCUUAGUUUCUACUUAAUACUUUAACCUGCACUUUUACUACACGCAAUGGAGAUAAAGAUGGUUGAAUUUCAGUCGUGACCUUAAA